AGACCCGAAACCCGGUGAUCUAGCCAUGGGCAGGUUGAAGGUUGGGUAACACUAACUGGAGGACCGAACCGACUAAUGUUGAAAAAUUAGCGGAUGACCUGUGGCUGGGGGUGAAAGGCCAAUCAAACCGGGAGAUAGCUGGUUCUCCCCGAAAGCUAUUUAGGUAGCGCCUCGUGAAUUCAUCUCCGGGGGUAGAGCACUGUUUCGGCUAGGGGGCCAUCCCGGCUUACCAACCCGAUGCAAACUGCGAAUACCGGAGAAUGUUAUCACGGGAGACACACGGCGGGUGCUAACGUCCGUCGUGAAGAGGGAAACAACCCAGACCGCCAGCUAAGGUCCCAAAGUCAUGGUUAAGUGGGAAACGAUGUGGGAAGGCCCAGACAGCCAGGAUGUUGGCUUAGAAGCAGCCAUCAUUUAAAGAAAGCGUAAUAGCUCACUGGUCGAGUCGGCCUGCGCGGAAGAUGUAACGGGGCUAAACCAUGCACCGAAGCUGCGGCAGCGACACUAUGUGUUGUUGGGUAGGGGAGCGUUCUGUAAGCCU
This 541-nucleotide ribosomal RNA is filed under the name Salmonella enterica. RNAcentral describes it as "partial 23S ribosomal RNA". It matches the Rfam family "Bacterial large subunit ribosomal RNA", at positions 711 to 1250 of the family's 2925-position model. The record is from RNAcentral. Lineage: Bacteria; Pseudomonadati; Pseudomonadota; Gammaproteobacteria; Enterobacterales; Enterobacteriaceae.